CCCCUCUCAGUGUUGCACCUGGAGAGUUUCCAAUACUCUACCAGUCUCAGUGGCGGGAGAGAGAGUCAAGCAGAGACCUAUCCAUUCCAUUCCUAGAUUGGCCAGUGGUUAGUGAGUCGAAGACAAUCUGCUACAAUU
Molecule: small nucleolar RNA, 138 nt
Organism: Tachyglossus aculeatus (Australian echidna)
Lineage: Eukaryota; Metazoa; Chordata; Mammalia; Monotremata; Tachyglossidae
Source: RefSeq, a predicted model, not a curated record